This 2539-nucleotide unclassified non-coding RNA is filed under the name Leishmania donovani. Its description in RNAcentral is "gene:LdHU3.13.1800(CDS-product:ras-like_small_GTP ases_putative)". Lineage: Eukaryota; Euglenozoa; Kinetoplastea; Trypanosomatida; Trypanosomatidae. The record is from RNAcentral.
CGCCUUAUACCCAUCCGCCCGUUCUCUUUUAUCGUUUUCCUCUCACCUGCCCAUUCUCCGACGCCCAUCCAUCGUUUAAGACGUGCACUGCCGUACGCAACCCCAAAGGUAACUGCGCAGGCGCGGCACAGCACCUCGUGCACACGCCGCUCUCCACGGCUUCUGGUGCAGUUAUAUGUAUUAUUUGAUUUUUUUUUGUUUUGACCUCCUCCUCCAUCCACCCUCCCUCCCUCCCUUCCCUUUUCCUUCGCCUCUCGAGUUGUGGAUCGCCUGUUCUCCCUCAUCGGACGCCCGAGGAGACGUCGCCACGCGCGGAUGCCCCUUUUGGUUGCUGAGCAGCACCACGCAUGAUUCUUCCGCGCUACGCAUGUGCGCACGCAGACAUGGAUCAGAAGCAGAUGCAGAAGCUGCUCCUUAUGGGGCCUGGCGGAGCCGGAAAGACGUGCAUGCGCAGCAUCAUUUUCGAUAACUACCUCCCUCGCGACGCGCUGCGACUCGGCAUCACCAUCUCGCUCGAUCAGAGCCAGGUGCACAUAUUGCGCAACCUCUUUUUGAACCUGUGGGACUGCGGCGGCCAGCACCGCUACGUCACGGAGUACUUGAAUCGCCAGAAGGAGUACAUCUUCCGCUACGUCGGCGUCAUGCUCUUUGUGUUUGAUAUCAACAGCAUGUGCCGUGACAGCCACGGCGGGAUCGGCGGCCCUGGUGGCGUUGGUGGCGAGGGCAGCAGCGCCACGACGGAUUGGAAGCUGCCGGAGAUGCUGGAGUACUUCCGCGAGGCAAUGCGUUUUAUUCGCCAAUACAGCCCCAAGGCAAAGGUGUUCGUGCUCCUGCACAAGAUCGACCUCAUCCACAAGGACGUCCGCGAAGAGAUUUUCCAGGCACGCAAGCAAGAGAUUCUGAACUGCAUCGACUCUGGUGACGGCAUGGACAUCGAGUUCUUCGGCACCAGCAUUUGGUCCGAUUCGCUUUACCUGGCCUACAGCUCGGUGGUGCGCUCGCUAGUGCCGCACCGCGACGUGCUGGUGGAGACGAUGCGCGGCAUCGCGAUGGCGUGCGACGCCGCCGAGGUGGCGUUGUACGAGCGGAGCACCUUUCUAUGCCUGACACACAUCAACCGCAAGGCCACCGACGAUGGCUCCAAGGCGCUGUUUCUGCAGAGCGACGGGGAGCUGCGCACGACAGAGGUGAGUGAGACGGUGAAGCACUUCAAGCUGAGCUGCAUGAACAACACGACCAGUCUUGGCGGACUGAGCAUCGCUACAGAGACGUUCACGGCGCUCUUGUGCCCGUUUACGGAGUGCACGCACGUGCUGGUCGUGUCGGUAGACCCGAAAGUGAACGUGGAGCUGCAUCGCCUCAACGUGAACGCCGCACGACGACGUUUUGAGCAGUUCCUGGACUCUGACGAGCCCACCGCGUGUGCAAUGCGCGAAGUUCUGUAAGAGGGGGCACCGAAGCGCACUAGAGAGAGAGGAGGGAGGCUGGUGCGUAUGUGUACGUGGCCAUGAUGCCCUCUCCCCUCUUCUCUCUUCUGUCUCUGCACCUCCUACGUCUUUACCGCCUUUCCUCUUCUCCAUCUUCCGUACCACUGCUACUCUUUUCCACUCCCUCGUGGUUUCUUCCCGGAGUCGUCCUGACAGGGCCAAGGGAGAGUCGCUCUCGCCUGCCCCCACCCCCUCUCCCAUCUUCUCCUGUUUAAGUGUGCGUGCCUGCCCGCUGUUGUUCUCGUCGGUCGUUGUUGUGUGCUGUACGUAUGUGCGUGUGCGUGUGUGAGAUGAGGGCGGAGCGCUCCCCCUCCCCCUAUCACCUCCACUUUUCCUCUUUUUGUAAAUCGUUUCGCUCUUUAUUUGUGUGCGUGUGGUGGUGAAGGGGGCCUGUCGCUGUGCGCCUCCCCCCCCCCCCUCACUGCCCGCCUUCUCUCAGCCUGCCUCCGCUCGGCGUUGCGCCGCGCAGGGGAGAACGUGCAAAACGGCGGACGAAGUCUGCACGAAAGAACGAAAAACAAAAUAGACACGGGAAGUCGAACGGUCGGAAGAGGGCGUGCAGGUGGCGUACUCUCGGCGCAGGGGAGCACGUGCACACUCGGUACACCCGUGGCUGGCGUGGUCGGUUUGUACGGCUCUCUUGCUAGUGCCACGCAUGCAAUUCACUGCUGCCUUCAGUCAUUGCCAAGAGGCUUUAGCUGCACGGCGCAGCUGUACCGGGGCGAGCAUAUAUAUGCAUGUAUGUGUGUCGGUUUGGGUGUGUCUGACGACCUUGCGCCUCUUCGCCCUCCCUCGACCCCCUGCAAGUCGUCAUCUCCUUUGAGGUCCCGCCGACUCGGCCCUUUCAUGGGGCCACGCGAUCGGCGUCCCGGUUGCGUGAGGGGCUCCCUCUUCUUUUUCUCCCUCCGCUCUGCCGCCGCCGCAUCUCGGCUUCCUCGCUACUUCGCGCCCCUCACCCUUUUGUUUCCCUUUUCCCUUUUCCGUCUUCCCACCGGCACGCUUUUCCUCGGGUGUGCGUGUGUAACGCGCCUCCCUUCGAACGGCGCAGCAAC